Molecule: small RNA, 333 nt
Filed under: Arabidopsis thaliana (thale cress)
Lineage: Eukaryota; Viridiplantae; Streptophyta; Magnoliopsida; Brassicales; Brassicaceae
Description: ATSL111150
Source: RNAcentral
GGUAUCUAGAAGCCCAAAAACAUUAAAUUAAUGGAUAAAACAACUGAUUUGGGCCUGAGCCGUAUCAUUCAAGUAAUACUUCUGAUACCAGUCUCUGAUGACAUGGCAGCUUGUGAUUAGUUGGGAAAACGUGUUUUUGUGGGAAAGGAGAGAAAAAAAAAAUCAUUUGCUCUUCUCUUCUCUCCUCUUCACUGCCUCUUGACCCGAUUCUUCUUCAAUGGAAGCGAGAAUCAUCCUCCAAAUUAAGACUUCUUGGAACCCUAAUCGCAAAUUCUCUCCUACUCCUUUAGAUCUAUGCCGGAGGCGCUUAUCUUAUGUUUUUCUAUAUUUAUU